CCUACGGGGUGCAGCAGUGGGGAAUAUUGCACAAUGGGCGCAGGCCUGAUGCAGCCAUGCCGCGUGUAUGAAGAAGGCCUUCGGGUUGUAAAGUACUUUCAGCAGGGGAGGAAGGCGAUAAGGUUAAUAACCUUGUCGAUUGACGUUACCCGCAGAAGAAGCACCGGCUAACUCCGUGCCAGCAGCCGCGGUAAUACGGAGGGUGCAAGCGUUAAUCGGAAUUACUGGGCGUAAAGCGCACGCAGGCGGUCUGUCAAGUCGGAUGUGAAAUCCCCGGGCUCAACCUGGGAACUGCAUUCGAAACUGGCAGGCUAGAGUCUUGUAGAGGGGGGUAGAAUUCCAGGUGUAGCGGUGAAAUGCGUAGAGAUCUGAGGAAUACCGGUGGCGAAGGCGGCCCCCUGGACGAAGACUGACGCUCAGGUGCGAAAGCGUGGGGAGCAAACAGGAUUAGAUACCCUCGUAGUC
RNAcentral lists this ribosomal RNA (465 nucleotides) under uncultured bacterium. RNAcentral describes it as "bacterial SSU rRNA". It matches the Rfam family "Bacterial small subunit ribosomal RNA", at positions 338 to 795 of the family's 1533-position model. The record is from RNAcentral.